RNAcentral lists this long non-coding RNA (6910 nucleotides) under Homo sapiens (human). Its description in RNAcentral is "HSALNT0228795". The record is from RNAcentral. Lineage: Eukaryota; Metazoa; Chordata; Mammalia; Primates; Hominidae.
CUGGGAUUACAGGUGUGAGCCACCGUACCCGGCCAUAGAGCAGCCUCUUCCUUUUCCUGUUGGGUCUCUGCUCAAAUGUCAUGUCAGAGAGGCAGACCUCUGGGGCGGUCUAUCUGAGGGAAUGCACCCAUCUCCCUUCCUCUGACCAGUUAGUUACCUUGCUUAUUCUUUCAAAGCUCUUACCACCACCUGAAGUCAUCUAUCUGGUUUGGUUAUUUUAUUGUUUAGUAGCAGUCUUUAUUUUAUUAUCAUUAUUAUUUUUUGAUGGAGUCUCACUCUGUUGCCCAGGCUGGAGUGCAGUAGCAUGAUCUCGGCUCACCAGAACCUCUGCCUCCCAGGUUCAAGCGAUUCUCCUGCCUUAGCUUCCUGAGUAGCUGGGACUACAGGCACGUGCCACCAUGCCCAGCUGAUUUUUGUACUUUUAGUAGAAACGGGGUUUCACUAUGUUGGCUGGUCUUGAACUCCUGACAUCAAGUGAUCCGCCCACCUCGGCCUCCCAAAGUACUGGGAUUACAGGCAUGAGCCACCACGCCAGGCUGGUAGCAGUCUUUCCUAGAAUGUGGAUGCCUUGGAAAACAGGGGCUCUGCCUUGUUUCCCUAGAACCUAGAAUGGCAUCUGGCACACAGCAGAUGCUACAUCUAUUGUAAAUGAAUGAAUGAAAGAAGUGUCCUUGCAGCCACACUGGCAGCCGUAACAUAGUGGUUAUAAAUCUAGACUCUGGAGUCUCAAGUGCAAAUGUCAUUGGCCUCUCCUCCAGCCUCCUCAAGGGGCACUCAAUGACUGGAAGUGCCCUGAUAUGACUGUGGUUGGACUGACAUGACUGCCAGAUGGUGGGACUUGGUCUGGAGCAGAGACUACUUGGAAUGGUAGAGGCAAAACUCAACAGCCCCUGGAGCUGCGCUUGUGGUGGAGCUGGACCCUGAUUUUAGCUGGACCUUGUUUUUAGAGACAGGGUUUCCUUCUGCAGUCUCAAUCUCCUAGCCUUGAUUGAUCCUCCUGCCUUGGCCUCCCAAAGUGCUGGGACUACAGGUGCAUGCAACCACACCUGGCUAAUUUUCUUCUCUUCUUUCUUUUCUUUUUUUUUUUUUUGAUGGAGUCUUGUUCUGUUGCCCAGGCUGGAGUGCAAUGGUGCCAUCUCGGCUCACUGCAACCUCUGCCUCCCGGGUUCAAUCCAUUCUCCUGCCUCAGCCUCCCAAGUAGCUGGGACUACAGGCACAUGCAACCACGUCUGGCUAAUUUUCUUGAGUUUUAGUAGAGACUGGGUCUCGUUAUGUUGUCCAGGCUGGUCCCGAGCUCCUGAGUUCAAUCGAUCUUCCUGCCUUGGUCUCCCAAAGUGCUGGGCCUACAGGCGUGAGCCACCAUCCCCAGCCCAAUUUUUGUAUAUUUUGUAGAGACACAGUCUUGCUAUGUUGUCCAGGCUGGUCUCAAACUCCUGGGCUCAAGGGAUCUUCUUGCCUUGGCCUCCCGGAGCACUUAAUUACAGGAAUGACUGCAUGUGCUGUUGUGCCUAUACUUUCUGGAGAUACGUUGUUAGGAAUUUAUGUAGUUGGCCGGGCACGGUGGCUCACGCCUGUAAUCCCAGCACUCUGGGAUGCCGAGGCAGGUGGAUCACCUGAGGUCAGGAGUUCGAGACCAGCCUGGUCAACAUGGUGAAACCCUGUCUCUACUAAUAAUACUAAAAUCAGAGGUUGCUUGCAGUGAGCCAAGAUCAUACCAUUGCACUGCAGCCUGGGCAACAGAGCGAGACUCUGUCUCAAAAAAAAAAAAAAAAGGAAUUUACAUAGUUGAACAACUAUUCUUUGGACAUCUUUUAGUCCAGUAGACGGUGUUAAACUUGAAGACAAAUAACGAUUUGACCUGUGAUAUUUGUUUUUCCCUCUUAUCUUCUAAGCCCAUUCAUCCAGAUCAUUCAUCACCUUUAAAGGCAUCCCCAGAGGGAGGCAGGUCUGGACAGAGCUGAAGAUUGCACAGGCCAUUUGCAGGCUGGAUUAGUUCUGUGGUGACCCACCUGUCUGACUCGAGUUAUUUUUUUCCCAUGUCUGGACAAGACUGACCUCUGCCCAGCAACUCAGGCCUGGAUUUAGUCCAAGGGCCCUCAGUGGCUUUUUUGUUUGUUUGUUUUUUCAGGAAGUGAAGAAUUUAGAGGGAUAAAAGGCGGAAAUAACUUUUCAGCCUCUGACCUUUGUAACAAUCUAGUUUCCUUUUAAAGGAGCAUUGUUUGGGCCUGGGGCCACCUAGACCUUCUGAUGCUCUUUCCCCACCCUUGGAGGAGGAGGAAAGGAAGAAAAUGGGCCCUGAGCGAUCACCACAUACCAGGCCCUGGGGGUCUAGUGGCGAAGGAGGCAGGUAGGGUCUCUUGCUUUCAUGGAGCUUCUAGUCAAGCGAGACGCACUAAACAGUAAAGGGACAAAUAGGAUUACUGGAGGUAGCCCUAACUACUGGGACAGAAACAAGAUGGUAAGAUAGAGAAGGAAGAGUGGCCUGCUCAGAUGGGGUGGUCCAGAGGCCUCUCGGGGGAGGUGACUCCUUUUUAUUUUAUUUUUUUUGAGAUGGAAUCUAGCUCUGUCGCCCAGCCUGAAGUGCAGUCGUGUGUUUCAUGCGCGUCCGUGUGAAGAGACCACCAAACAGGCUUUGUGUGAGCAACAUGGCUGUUUAUUUCACCUGGGUGCAGGCGGGCUGAGUCCGAAAAGAGAGUCAGCAAAGGGUGGUGGAUUAUCAUUAGUUCUUACAGGUUUUGGGAUAGGGGGUGAAGAGCCAUGUUUUGCAGGCAGGGGUGGAUCUCACAAAGUACAUUCUCAAGGGUGGGGAGAAUUACAAAGAACCUUCUUAAGGGUUGGGGAGAUUACAAAGUACCUUCUUAAGGGUGGGGGAGAUUACAAAGUACAUUGAAGAGUUAGGGUGGGGCAGAAACAAAUCACAAUGGUGGAAUGUCAUCAGUUAAGGCUAUUUUUACUUCUUGUGUGGAUCUUCAGUUACUUCAGGCCAUCUGGAUGUAUACGUGCAAGUCACAGGGGAUGCAAUGGCUUGGCUUGGGCUCAGAGGCCUGACAGUGUGAUCUUGGCUCACUGCAAACUCUGCCUCCUGGGUUCAAGCAAUUUUUGUGCCUCAGCUUCCCGAGUAGCUGGGAUUACAGGUGCCCGCCACCAUGCCCAGCUAAUUUUUGUAUUUUUAGUAGAGACAUAGAGUUUCACCAGAUUGGCCAGGCUGGUCUCGAACUCCUGUCUCACGUGUCUGUGUGAAGAGACCACCAAACAUGCUUUGUGUGAGCAACAUGGCUGUUUAUUUCACCUGGGUGCAGGCGGGCUGAGUCCGAAAAAGGAGUCAACAAAGGGUGGUGUGAUUAUCACUGGUUCUUAUAGAUUUGGGGAUAGGCGGUGGAGUUAAGAGCAGUGUUUUGGGGGCAGGAGGUGGAUCUCAUAAAGUACAUUGUCAAAGGUGAGGAGAAUUACAAAGAAACUUCUUAAGGGUGGGGGAGAUGAUAAAGAACCUUCUUAAGAGUGGGGCAGAUUACAAAGUACAUUGAUCAGUUAGGGUGGGGCAGAAACAAAUGACAAUGGUGGAAUGUCUUCAGUUAAGGCUGUUUUCACUUCUGUGGAUCUUCAGUUGCUUCAGGCCAUCUGGAUGUAUACGUGCAGGUCACUGGGAUAUGAUGGCUUAGCUUGGACUCAGAGGCCUGACAUUCCUGUCUUCUUAUGUUAAUAAGAAAAAUAAAACAAAAUAGUGGUAAAGUGUUGGGGUGGCGAAAAUUUUUGGGGGUGAUAUGGAGAGAUAAUGGGCGAUGUUUCUCAGGGCUGCUUCGAGUGGGAUUAGGGGCGGCAUGGGAACCUACAGUGGGAGAGAUUCAACUGAAGAAAGAUUUUGGGGUAAGGGCUGAUACUGUGGGGUUGUUAGAAGGAGCAUUUGUCAUAUAGAAUUAUUGGUGAUGGCCUGAAUAUGGUUUUGUAUGAAUUGAGAAACUAAACAGAAGACACACGGUCCGAAUAAGAGAAGGAGAAAAACAGGUAUUAAAGGACUAAGAAUUGGGAGGACCCAGGACAUCCAAUUAAGAGAGUGCCCAAGGGGGUUCAGCAUAAUUAUUUGCUUGGUUGGCAAGUUUUUGGACUCUAUCCUUGAGUUUUUUUAUGUUGUCAUAUACCAGGCCAGAUUGAUUUAGGUAAAAACAACACUCUUCAUUUAAAAAUAUACAGAGUCGUCCUUUUUCAGCAAUGAGUAAAUUGAGGCCUUGGCGAUUUUGGAGGAAAGAGAAUUGCAAAGCCAGCAAUUGUUUCUUUUUUUAUUUAUUUAUUUACUUAUUUUUUUAAAUUAUACUUUAAGUUAUAGGGUACAUGUACACAAUGUGCAGGUUUGUUACAUAUGUAUACAUGUGCCAUGUUGGUGUACUGCACCCAUUAACUCGUCAUUUACAUUAGGUGUAUCUCCUACUGCUAUCCCUUCCCCCUCCCCCACCACACAAGAGGCCCCAGUGUGUGAUGUUCCCCUUCCUGUGUCCAAGUGUUCUCAUUGUUCAAUUCCCAUCUGUGAGUGAGAACAUGCGGUGUUUGGUUUUUUGUCCUUGUGAUAGUUUGCUGAGAGUGAUCGUUUCCAGCUUCAUCCAUGUCUCUACAAAGGACAUGAACUCAUCCUUUUUUAUGGCUGCAUAGUACUCCAUGGUGUAUCUGUGCCACAUUUUCUUAAUCCAGUCUAUCAUUGAUGGACAUUUGUGUUGGUUCCAAGUCUUCACUAUCGUGAAUAUUGCCGCGAUAAACAUAUGUGUGCAUGUGUCUUUAUAGCAGCAUGAUUUAUAAUCCUUUGGGUAUGUAUCCAGUAAUGGGAUGGCUGGGUCAAAUGGUAUUUCUAGUUCUAGAUCCCUGAGGAAUCGCCACACUGUCUUCCACAAUGGUUGAACCAGUUUACAGUCCCACCAACAGUGUAAAAGUGUUCCUAUUUCUCCACAUCCUCUCCAGCACCUGUUGUUUCCUGACUUUUUAAUGAUCGCCAUUCUAACUGGUGUGAGAUGAUAUCUCAUUGCGGUUUUGAUUUGCAUUUCUCUGAUGGCCAGUGAUGAUGAGCAUUUUUUCAUGUGUCUGUUGGCUGCAUAAAUGUCUUCUUUUGAGAAGUGUCUGUUCAUAUGCUUUGCCCACUUUUUGAUGGGGUUUGUUUUUUUUCUUGUAAAUUUGUUGGUGUUCUUUGUAGAUUCUGGAUAUUAGCCUUUUGUCAGAUAAGUAGAUGGCAAAAAUUUUCUCCCAUUCUCUAGGUUGCCUGUUCACACUGAUCCUAGUUUCUUUUGCUGUGCAGAAGCUCUUUAGUUUAAUUAGAUCCCAUUUGUCAGUUUUGGCUUCUGUUGCCAUUGCUUUUGGUGUUUUAGACAUGAAGUCCUUGCCCAUCCCUAUGUCCUGAAUGGUAUUGCCUAGGUUUUCUUCUAGGGUUUUUACGGCUUUAGGUCUAACAUUUAAGUCUUUAAUCCAUCUUGAAUUAAUUUUUGUAUAAGGUGUAAGGAAGGGAUCCAGUUUCAGCUUUCUACAUAGGGCUAGCCAGUUUUCCCAGCACUAUUUAUUAAGUAGGGAAUCCUUUCCGCAUUUCUUGUUUUUGUCAGGUUUGUCAAAGAUCAGAUGGUUGUAGAUGUGUGGUAUUAUUUCUGAGGGCUCUGUUCUGUUCCAUUGGUCUAUAUGUCUGUUUUGGUACCAGUACCAGGCUGUUUUGGUUACUGUAGCCUUGUAGUAUAGUUUGAAGUCAGGUAGCAUGAUGCCUCCAGCUUUGUUCAUUGGGCUUAGGAUUGUCUUGGCAAUGCGGGCUCUUUUUUGGUUCCAUAUGAACAUUAAAGUAGUCUUUUGCAACUCUCAUCAGCCCAGUUUAAUAUUACCUAUUUAUUAUAAUGUAAUGCUGCUCGCACAACUGAGAAAAUACUGUUGCUUUACCCCCUCCAGCUCUGUAGCAGCCACGCAGAAAUCAUAGAACUGUAAACAUAUGCUAAUUACACAACCUAUGUAGGCAAUCAAUAUUAAGAAAAAUUUUUACUGCCCGGUAUUUCUGUGGUUGAAAAUGUAGAGUCUAAUUUUGAUCCGCAGUAACAUCUAGGUUAAUGUUGAUUCAGAAGGAAAACGUUUGUUGUUGCCAUGAGAAGAGGCAUUGAAAUGCUGAAUCACCACCACAAAUGUUACCACUAUUAAUAUAAGGAGAUACAUAGGAAGAUGGAAUUAGACCAUCUCGGACCACCAGGUUUACAAUUCCACCUGCAGAUACAUGCAAGAAGUAUUGUCACAAUACUUAUGUCACGUUAUUCCGUUGAGGUCAUCACCAACUAAGCUUAUAAUUAAUGUGUGGUCAAUUUGGUCAAUGUCACCAGCGUAGCAUACUAACAAAAACAAGGGUUGCAAAGUCAAAUGCCUAUAAGGCAGAACGUAAGACGGUAGGAAGCAAAGUCUAUAGGGAGCUAUAUAAUAGAGGCUGCAGAUUCAUGGCAGAUUCUAAAGCACAGCAGUCCCCAACAUUUUUGGCACCAGGGACCGGCUUUGUGGAAGACAAUUUUUCCACAGGCGGCAAGGGAUGGGGCGCAGGAUGGUAAUGGUCUUGGGAUGAAACUGUUCCACCACAAAUCAUCAGGAAUUAGAUUCUCAUAAGGAAUAUGCAACCUGGAUCCCUCGUGUGUGCAAUUCACAACAGGGUUCAUGCUCCUGUAAGAAUCUAAUGAUGCUGCUGAUCUGACAGGAGGCAGAGCUCAGGCAGCAAUGCAAGCAAUGGGGAGCAGCCAGAAAUACAGACGAAGCUUCAAUUGUUACCCACCAUUCACCUCCUGCUCUGUGGCCCAGUUCCUAACAGGCCACAGACCAGUACAUGUCCAUGGCCCAGGGGUCAGGCACCCCUGCUGUGGCACAUUGCUUAAUAGAGGACUGUAGCAGCCAUGUGCCCUGACCUUUCCUUUUUUUUUUUUUU